RNAcentral lists this ribosomal RNA (460 nucleotides) under uncultured bacterium. Its description in RNAcentral is "partial 16S ribosomal RNA". It matches the Rfam family "Bacterial small subunit ribosomal RNA", at positions 338 to 795 of the family's 1533-position model. The record is from RNAcentral.
CCUACGGGAGGCAGCAGUGAGGAAUAUUGGUCAAUGGACGAGAGUCUGAACCAGCCAAGUAGCGUGAAGGAUGACUGCCCUAUGGGUUGUAAACUUCUUUUAUAUGGGAGCAAAAUGGUCCACGUGUGGGAUUUUGUAUGUACCAUAUGAAUAAGGAUCGGCUAACUCCGUGCCAGCAGCCGCGGUAAUACGGAGGAUCCGAGCGUUAUCCGGAUUUAAUGGGUUUAAAGGGAGCGUAGGUGGAUUGUUUAGUCAGUUGUUAAAGUUUGAGGCUCAACCGUAGAAUUGCAGUUGAAACUGGGAGUCUUGAGUACGGGAGAGGUAGGCGGAAUUCGUGGUGUAGCGGUGAAAUGCAUAGAUAUCACGAAGAACUCCGAUUGCGAAGGCAGUUCACUGGACUGCAACUGACACUGAGGCUCGAAAGUGUGGGUAUCGAACAGGAUUAGAUACCCUUGUAGUC